UAUCUCUGUAGAGUCUGCAUAUCAAUAAGCGGAGGAAAAGAAACUAACUAGGAUUCCCUCAGUAACGGCGAGUGAAGCGGGAAGAGCUCAAAUUUGAAAUCUUCAAGGUUCUACCUUGACGAAUUGUAGUUUAAAGAAGUGUUUUCUGUUGGAGUUUUGGUAAAAGUUCUUUGGAAUAGGACAUCAUAGAGGGUGAGAAUCCCGUAUUUGACCAUUAUUUCCAGCUUUGUGAUACACUUUCAAAGAGUCGGAUUGUUUGGGAAUGCAGUCCAAAAUGGGUGGUAAAUUUCAUCUAAAGCUAAAUAUUGGCGAGAGACCGAUAGCGAACAAGUACCGUGAGGGAAAGAUGAAAAGAACUUUGAAAAGAGAGUUAAACAGUACGUGAAAUUGUCAAAAGGGAAGCGUUUGACACCAGUGUUGUUUUCUCGAAAAUCAAUUAAAAAAGGCAGGAUUUUGUGUUGUAUUGACUUUAUCAGCUUUCUGCACUCUUUUCUUGCUUUUUUUAAUGCACUUUUCGUUUAACAAGUCAACAUCAAUUUCUUUUGUUGUAAAAGAGUCAUUGGAAGGUGGCUUUCACUUCGGUGAAAGUGUUUAUAGCCUUUGGCUUCUGCAAUCGGAGAGAUUGAGGUCUGCAGCGUAGAUCCUUCGGGGCUAGAUACGUAGAUGCUAAGUUAUAGUUUUUUAUAGACAACUUGUUGACUAUAAUUAAUCAUGUAGCUUACUCGUUUGCGCUAUUUUACCUACGCUUAGGAUGUUGAAGUCAUCGUAUCGCGC
Molecule: ribosomal RNA, 774 nt
Filed under: uncultured Neocallimastigales
Lineage: Eukaryota; Fungi; Neocallimastigomycota; Neocallimastigomycetes; Neocallimastigales
Description: partial large subunit ribosomal RNA
Rfam family: Eukaryotic large subunit ribosomal RNA
Source: RNAcentral